This 455-nucleotide ribosomal RNA is filed under the name uncultured bacterium. RNAcentral describes it as "bacterial SSU rRNA". It matches the Rfam family "Bacterial small subunit ribosomal RNA", at positions 346 to 793 of the family's 1533-position model. The record is from RNAcentral.
AGGCAGCAGUGGGGAAUAUUGCACAAUGGGCGCAAGCCUGAUGCAGCCAUGCCGCGUGUAUGAAGAAGGCCUUCGGGUUGUAAAGUACUUUCAGCAGUGAGGAAGGUGGGUAUGUUAAUAGCAUAUUCAUUUGACGUUAGCUGCAGAAGAAGCACCGGCUAACUCCGUGCCAGCAGCCGCGGUAAUACGGAGGGUGCGAGCGUUAAUCGGAAUUACUGGGCGUAAAGCGCAUGCAGGUGGUUUGUUAAGUCAGAUGUGAAAGCCCGGGGCUCAACCUCGGAAUUGCAUUUGAAACUGGACAAACUAGAGUACUGUAGAGGGGGUAGAAUUUCAGGUGUAGCGGUGAAAUGCGUAGAGAUCUGAAGGAAUACCGGUGGCGAAGGCGGCCCCCUGGACAGAUACUGACACUCAGAUGCGAAAGCGUGGGGAGCAAACAGGAUUAGAUCCCCUGGUAG